Molecule: long non-coding RNA, 2211 nt
Organism: Neofelis nebulosa (Clouded leopard)
Lineage: Eukaryota; Metazoa; Chordata; Mammalia; Carnivora; Felidae
Exons: 3
Source: RefSeq, a predicted model, not a curated record
GUCGGGGCUCGAGGCCCUCCGAACGUGAGCACGUCGGAGUCCCGCGAGCAAGAGCGUCGCUCCGCCGCCUUCACGGCGGACGCCGCGGUCUUGCGCCCCCGUGUGUCUGGAGUAAAGAACGGCCCAGGUUUACGCUUCCCUCCCACGUGACUCGAGCGAGGCGGGCAAAGUCUGGCUGCAGGGUGAAUUCUUCCCGGAGGGGCAGCGAACGCUCGGCGACGGCCGCCUGAGUGCCUUCCCCGACGCGACAGCACCGGUGACGCUCCUCGACUCUAUCGGCCUCCACCCUAAACGAAGGUCGAAAUUAAAUCUACGACACCUGCCGGUCCCUGGUCUAUUUCAGGGUCGAGCCGGGCUGCAGAGUGGCGGGUGCACGUGGGACGGGCCCCUUGACAACUGACGCUUCUGCAGAAGUGAAGCCGGGGGUGCGGGUGUGAGAAGAGGCCCACCUAGGAAAGCGAGCAAGAGGGGAGGGCUGGCUACCGCCGCCUCCCGCCAGCGCCUCGAAACACGAAACACGGCCUCAAUUUUAUGCAGGAACUGGAUGCCGCCUGAUUGGUUAAGUCGGUGAGCGCACAGGGCAUCGACGGCGGUGGCGAGCUAAAAGGAGGAUUCCUGUGACUUGUGCAGAGGAACAAGAGCCCGAGUGGACCUUUUGGUUCCGGGGCAACCCACAGGCACAUUUUUCUGAAACCGCUUUAUUUGAAGUCGUUCCAGAGCUUUAUCUCCCCUGAAUGUUUGGGCUUGGAGUUAAACUGUUCACUUGAGCAUUGCCUGUUGGGUUUGAUCAGUCCUAAGAGCCUUCUGGGAAGGCCCAGAAAGCCAGAAGGUGAAGCCAGGAGUGUUGCUGUCAAACUCAUGGAAAAGUAUACGAGGGGCGCCUGGGUGGCUCAAGUCAGUCAAGCGUCCGACUUCGGCUCAGGUCAUGAUCUCAGGGUUCGUGAGGUGGAGCCCCGUGCCGGGCCCUCUGCCGUCAGCGUGGACCGUGCUUCAGAUCCUCUGUCUCCCUGUCUCUGCCCCUCCCCUGCUCGCACUUUCUCUCUCAAAAUAAACAAAUAAACUUAAAAAAAAAAAAAAGUAUAUUGAGUUAACGGAGGGCUAUGUAACACUUGCAGAAUAUUAGAGGCUUGGGACCGUGUAAAAUGAUUUCAGUCAACCACUGCUGUACCGUAGGAGACUGGAGCACAGAAGAGCUGAAUGAUGUACCCACUGCAGGUUCCUUGGUCAAGGCUGGAACGACAGCCUGUACGUCUCGAUUCUUCGUCUUGGGCUUUUUCGGCUACAAUCACGCUGCCCCCCUCCUUAGGUCAUAGACUCCUCAACGUUCUUUUAGACUCAAGCCGUGGUAACAAUGGCACUAACAACAAAAGACGUGCGUCAGACUGGUUGAAACAGAGAAUCCGGUGGCUCACGCAACAACCUAGUCCAGAGGAAUCUCUGCCUUCAGGGACAGCUGGCUUUAGGGGUCUUAACAAUGUCAUCAGAACUGGCUCAUCUCCAGCCCUGUUUGGCUUUGUUUCCAGGCUCUACAGAUGAGCUAAAUGGCUGCCAAGUAAAGUCCUGACGUCGCCUGAAGAUCUUGCCCUUCCCCACCCCCCCAACAGGCCUUCCAAAGUUGCAGAUUGCAUGCCAUUGGGUCUGAUGGGAUCGGGCACCAUUUUGGAAAUAGUCCCCGUGGCCAGAAGGUACUCUUCUUACUAAAUAGGCCUGAAUCCCAUGUCUACACAGAGUGUAGAGUCUACACCCUUUGAAAGACUUGUCUGAGGGUGCACAUCAGGACCAGACAAGCGGGAGGCAGAGGGUGCCCAUCUGAACAAGAAUAGCCACUGUGGCCUAAAACGCAACUUUCUCCUUACCUCGUUUUCUUAGUAAAUUCACCUGCGUCCUCCGCUUUCCGCUGUAGCUGUUUGGUGUCUCUGUCCAGGAACCUUCUCCUUUUGCAUAGCUCCUUUAAAGUUUUUAUAAGGUAAUGGGGCGCCUGGGUGGCUUCGUUGGUUAAGCGUCCAAUCUCGGCUCGGGUCAUGAUCUCACAGUUCGUGAGUUCGGGCCACGCAUCGGGCUCUGUGCUGGCAGCUCGCAGCCUGGAGCCGGCUUCGGAUUCUGUGUCUCCCUCUCUCUCUGCCCCUCCCCCACUCAUGCUCUGUGUCUCUCAAAAAUAAAUGUUAAAACAAUUUUAUGAGGUAAAUAGUGAAAAAAAUCAAAAGGAAUUCA